CAGCAGAUGGCUCUCUUACACUCGCUUCUUAUUCUUUACACAACAAGAGCAUCUUUUGUAACGUAAACAAGUUAGAAGACCCCACCUCUCUGUAGUGGCGGAAAAAUAAGUUGUUAAAAAGUCGUGGGUAUAAUUCAAGGGCGGUAUUACUCUCCACGAAGAAAUAUUAUGUUUUUAAUUCGUUUCUAUUAGCACAUAGGCCCACUGAACAGCGACUCUAACGUUAGCUAACUUUGCUAACUUCACACCGUGGCAAGCGCAAUAUCAACGAUAUAACCAUUUUUAGCUUACAAAAACGAAAGGAACAUAAUAGUUUUGAAUUCUUAGAUCAAAAAAAUGUCUCUUCUGAGGGAUCACAAGACUUUGCGUAUUUUGCUCAUUGCUCUUUCUCAAUUUGCUUACGUUGCUGCUUUGAUUAUCAAUGCACUCGCGGGACCAGGAAAAGGUCCAUUUCAGCGCAGCACUGGAAAUAUAUCAGACAGAUAUCAGACAGAGAUCACUCCUGCUGGAUGGACCUUCUCUAUAUGGGGGGUCGUCUAUUCCUGGCUCUUCCUGAUGAACGCAUAUAUCCUUACCUGGCUUUGUAGAGGGUACUUCAAACCACACACACUCCACUCAUAUCAACACUUUGCUUAUUCACACUGUUUGAAAGCCAUUCAUUGUAGUUUGACAGUCUUCGCCUGAAUUAUUGGCUGUCAGGUUGUACUCAAGUCCAGCAAUCCUGCCCUCGGAAUUCUUUCUCUCAUGGAUCAUCAACAUGAUUCUGAACAGUACCUGGCUGGUCUUGUGGGAUAGAGAGUAAGUUGUGGGCAGCCAACAUAUUUUGUGGCAUAAUCAUAGUUUUGCAUGGUGCCUCAGAAGGUCACGUGUUUGUCUUUUAUUGAUUCAGAUUGAUGAUUCCUGCCCUGAUUGUUCUUGCCCUGAUUGCUUUCACCAACUACCUGAUGAUCUUCUUCUCUUGUCUUGGUCUGCGAGCUCAUGGAUCUUGGCUUAAACAGCAACAUCCAAAAGACCUCUUCUGCAUCAUAGUGUUGGUUCAAAAUGGCAUUGCCACUUAUGCAACAUGGACAACUAUUGCCACACUGCUCAACUUCACUAUUGUGUUGGAUCUGGCGUCAGUUUCCCCAACACAUGCUGCUACUGCUUCUUUAUGCAUACUUCUGUUGGAAGUAAUUAUAUGGUUUACAGUUGAAAACUUUCUAAUAGAGAAGCACGUCCGUUACAUCCUCUCGGUUUACCCUGUGAUUAUCUAUGCUCUAAUUGGAAGCCUAAGCAAGCAUUACAUUGCCGCGGGACCUGGCCGGAAUGCCAUCUUUUCAAUGAUGCUUCUGGUGUUGGCCUGUAUUUUGUUAGUGGUGCGCGUGGGGCUGGUGGUUUGGAGACACGGGACUCUGCCUCUCUUCCGUGAAGUAAGUCCUGAGGUCCUGAUGUCACCAAACAGCGGCACUGAUAAAUAACCAUACAUCAUAAAUACUAAACACUCAUGAAAACUUCAAAGAUGACGUGCCCUAAACGGUAACCCUUCCAGGUGUGCAGUACCUGCAUGAAUGUAUUUCGGCUGGAACAGAUGUCUUUUUCAAAGUAUUAUGGAAAAUAUGCAUGAAACAGCAUACGGUAACAACAUUAUAUCUAUUCUGAGCUUGAGCCAGGCCAUGUUCAGGGUAUUAAAUGUGCCAGUUUUGUUCUAUGUUACUCUUACCAUUCUAAAGUUGAAAUAAAAGUCUGCAUUUAUUUGAUCAAAAAUACAAUAAAAACAGCAGUAUUAUGAAACACUAUUAUGCACAACAGCUUUUUAUUUCAUUUUAAUGUUUUAUAAUGUAAUUGUGUGUAUGCAGAUAUAUUCAGUAACUUGUGACCAAAAUAUCAGUAUUAUACCUGAACCUGACAGUACAUUCAUUUGCUUGUUACCUUUUUGCAUGUCUUUAUGAAUUAACGUUAACAUUUAAUAUUUUAGCAAUUCAAAGCAAAAUAAGCACAAAUAAGGAAGCAAUUUAUUACAGUAUCAAAAGCAGUAUAUCAUACAAAAGCCGACAAUAAUCAUGAUACCAU
Molecule: long non-coding RNA, 2049 nt
Organism: Sinocyclocheilus grahami
Lineage: Eukaryota; Metazoa; Chordata; Actinopteri; Cypriniformes; Cyprinidae
Source: Ensembl